UGGCGCAUACAAAGAGAAGCGACCUCGCGAGAGCAAGCGGACCUCAUAAAGUGCGUCGUAGUCCGGAUUGGAGUCUGCAACUCGACUCCAUGAAGUCGGAAUCGCUAGUAAUCGUGGAUCAGAAUGCCACGGUGAAUACGUUCCCGGGCCUUGUACACACCGCCCGUCACACCAUGGGAGUGGGUUGCAAAAGAAGUAGGUAGCUUAACCUUCGGGAGGGCGCUUACCACUUUGUGAUUCAUGACUGGGGUGAAGUCGUAACAAGGUAACCGUAGGGGAACCUGCGGUUGGAUCACCUCCUUACCUGAAAGAAGC
This 315-nucleotide ribosomal RNA is filed under the name Salmonella enterica subsp. enterica serovar Agona str. 400095 13. RNAcentral describes it as "partial 16S ribosomal RNA". It matches the Rfam family "Bacterial small subunit ribosomal RNA", at positions 1231 to 1533 of the family's 1533-position model. Lineage: Bacteria; Pseudomonadati; Pseudomonadota; Gammaproteobacteria; Enterobacterales; Enterobacteriaceae. The record is from RNAcentral.